RNAcentral lists this ribosomal RNA (439 nucleotides) under uncultured bacterium. Its description in RNAcentral is "partial 16S ribosomal RNA". It matches the Rfam family "Bacterial small subunit ribosomal RNA", at positions 339 to 795 of the family's 1533-position model. The record is from RNAcentral.
CUACGGGGUGCUGCAGUGAGGAAUAUUGCACAAUGGGGGGAACCCUGAUGCAGCAACGCCGCGUGGAGGAUGACGCAUUUCGGUGUGUAAACUCCUUUUAUAUGUCAAGAAAAUGACGGUAGCAUAUGAAUAAGCACCGGCUAACUCCGUGCCAGCAGCCGCGGUAAUACGGAGGGUGCAAGCGUUACUCGGAAUCACUGGGCGUAAAGGACGCGUAGGCGGGCUUGUAAGUCAGGUGUGAAAUCCUACAGCUUAACUGUAGAACUGCACUUGAAACUACGAGCCUAGAGUAUGGGAGGGGGAGAUGGAAUUAGCGGUGUAGGGGUAAAAUCCGUAGAUAUCACUAGGAAUACCGAAAGCGAAGGCGAUCUCCUGGAACAUAACUGACGCUAAGGCGUGAAAGCGUGGGGAGCAAACAGGAUUAGAUACCCCUGUAGUC